Molecule: long non-coding RNA, 488 nt
Organism: Fukomys damarensis (Damara mole-rat)
Lineage: Eukaryota; Metazoa; Chordata; Mammalia; Rodentia; Bathyergidae
Exons: 3
Source: RefSeq, a predicted model, not a curated record
CUGACUACAACAAAGGCAAGGGAACCCUCUGGAGCAGCUUGAGAGAAAAAUUGGAUCAAACCCAAUGGGGCUAUAUAAUCUGUAUCUUAUGAGUAACAAGAAACUAGUGAAGGAUUUGAGGGACUGGCCAAUGAUUAAGUUACCCUAUCCACUGACUUCUCAGGAUGGGAAAAAUCUACUUUGACAUCAGGAAGCGCUACGGCAAGAAAGAGGGGUAUAGACAGAAGGAGGGGCCAGAGAUUACACGAUGAUGUGAACAUGUAUGGCUGUAUCAGAUAGCAAAACUUUUACCCUAAAGAAUCGGCCACUGAAUCCCUUCUGCAUUCCAAUCCCUCCCUUCGCCUGAAACCGCUGUACCCCUGCAUCCCUGCUGGUUCCCUUCCUGAGGGCUCAGUCACGUGAUGCCCCUACUACAGCUGCAGAAUUCAGGGGACCCUAACUUUUCCCUUGGCUUCUUCUUUCUGCCUUGAUUUGACCUACUGUGCGAU